RNAcentral lists this long non-coding RNA (689 nucleotides) under Dermacentor andersoni. Its description in RNAcentral is "uncharacterized LOC126535336". The record is from RNAcentral. Lineage: Eukaryota; Metazoa; Arthropoda; Arachnida; Ixodida; Ixodidae.
GUUGCUGUUGUGAUGUAGCUGAGAAGAGGUCUGCUGCCUGCAAUGGGUCCAUCUCUCUCAAGUUAUUGCAGUAUUGUAGCUCUCAAAGUUCAAAAAAGUAUGGUGGAAGCUGUUGCCAAGGUUCCGACCAGAAAAGAAAGCCAGUAUAAAAGGGUCCACACCACUGAUCUCUACUACAGGGAAUGCACAGCAUAUUGAGCGCCCUCGACUGAAGCCAACCUUGUCCCGGAAGUUGGUGCUUCACAACUUUGCGGCAGCACUUCGUUUGCACGGCCUGUGGAGACAAGGUUUCUUAGACAUGGCCAUGGCCCUCAAGGAAGAUGCCGAGGCGACAGGCAGUUCCUCCAGUGACCGUGAAAAGGUCCCCUGGGGCACAAGUCUAAUUUGGCACCCCUACCUUUCUCCUGCAGCUUUUCUGUCUGCUUAGCUAACCAGCAAGUUUAUCCUUGCAAGCAUUUUGGGUCAAGAACAACUUUCACCAGGAAGAAGUGCAAGACGAGUGAUUGAAGAAAAUAAAGUUGCUUCUGUGAUCUAAGAACUUGAGGACUGAAAUGUUGCACCUUUGUGUAUAUAUGCUAUGCAGUGCAUUCAUAUCACAAAGUGCAAAGUGUUUUAUCUCUGCAGCCAUGUCAGUGUGUUGGCAAGACAAUUUUCUCAAUGGUGACCUGCUGCUUUGUCUAUGAGCUGCC